Molecule: ribosomal RNA, 253 nt
Filed under: uncultured bacterium
Lineage: Bacteria
Description: partial 16S ribosomal RNA
Rfam family: Bacterial small subunit ribosomal RNA
Source: RNAcentral
UACGUAGGUGGCAAGCGUUGUCCGGAUUUACUGGGCGUAAAGAGCGCGCAGGCGGUCGAUUUAGUCGCGUGUGAAAGCCCCCGGCUCAACUGGGGAGGGUCACGCGAUACUGAUCGACUGGAAGGCAGGAGAGGGUAGUGGAAUUCCCGGUGUAGUGGUGAAAUGCGUAGAUAUCGGGAGGAACACCAGUGGCGAAGGCGACUACCUGGCCUGUUCUUGACGCUGAGGCGCGAAAGCUAGGGGAGCAAACGGG